UGCUUCUCGUCGAGGGAAAUUCCCG
RNAcentral lists this non-coding RNA (25 nucleotides) under Drosophila melanogaster (fruit fly). The record is from RNAcentral. Lineage: Eukaryota; Metazoa; Arthropoda; Insecta; Diptera; Drosophilidae.